Molecule: long non-coding RNA, 501 nt
Filed under: Citrus x clementina
Lineage: Eukaryota; Viridiplantae; Streptophyta; Magnoliopsida; Sapindales; Rutaceae
Description: Citrus clementina (C. clementina) long non-coding RNA (CCLE_LNC005076)
Source: RNAcentral
CGGCUUUUGGGUGGUUAUUUUUGGGCGCGGCGGUGCACGCGGCCUAUUUUUGGUACACGGAGGCUGCUCACAAUGUCUCGCGCCAUUCCGAGUCCGGCGGACGAAGUUGGCCAGCCCCACCCCCCAAGGCUAUAGCCAACCUGUUUUUGUGGCCUUUUUCCACGGGAGAACUUGGCGCCCCGGCCUUCGGGUGGUUAUUUUUGGGUGCGGCUGUGCCCGCGGCCUAUUUUUGGCACACGGAGGCCGCUCGCAAAGUCUCGCAGCAUUCCGAGUCCGGCGGACGAAGUUGGCCAGCCCCACCCCCCAAGACUAUAGCCCACCCGUUUUUGUUGCCUUUUCCCGCGGGACGAACUUGGCGCCCCGGUUUUCGGGCGGUCAUUUUUGGGUGUAGCUGUGCCUGCGGCCUAUUUUUGGCAAACGGAGGCCGCUCGCAAAGUCUCGCGCCAUUCCGAGUCCGGCGGACGAAGUUGGCCAGCCCCACCCCCCAAGGCUAUAAUAGCC